GCUGUAUAUCAAGCCCGGCUGCUACGCUUUUUCAAGAAAUGUACUCUGACAGCCCCAAUGACUUUACUGAUGAAGACGAUUUGAGCCUCCCCAGCACAUCAGAAGGUGCGGCAUCUGCUGCUGGCUCUUCAGGGUAAGUCAGUGUUCACUUCCUUGUGUCGGAAUAUGACACCAUAACAAACAUUUUUUUGAGGCAGGUUGUCAACUUCAUAAGCAGGAGCCGCUGCCCCAGAUCCAGGGUCUGCCAAAAGGCGAGCAUCCAAUGGACCUUCCUCUCGGACCAAAAGAAGGCAGUCUGACAGCUUCGACGAAGCGGUGAAAGAGGUCUUGGGCAGCUGCUCAGCUACGCUGUUAGAACUAAAAAAAAAAAAAGAAAUGCCUGCACCGACAGAUGACCGUCACGAGGCAGUAAACUGGAUAGCUGCUAAGCUGAGGAUGCUACCAAAUAAAAGAAGAUGCAAGGUAACAUUCAAAAUCCACAAGGUGCUGUAUGAAGCCGAAAUGGAGCAGUAUGAAUAAAUGAAAUGUAAAGUGCAAGCAAUCGAUAAUAUUGUUCUAUGAAACGCAAGCAAUUUCGGCUUUCUUUUGACACGAUAGUGUUUGUGCAUGCUGA
Non-coding RNA from Dermacentor andersoni, 613 nucleotides. NCBI's taxonomy places the organism in Eukaryota, Metazoa, Arthropoda, Arachnida, Ixodida, Ixodidae. The record is from RefSeq and is a predicted model, not a curated record.